CAGCCGCCGCGGGAAUACGUAGGGUGCGAGCGUUAAUCGGAAUUACUGGGCGUAAAGCGUGCGCAGGCGGUUAUAUAAGACAGAUGUGAAAUCCCCGGGCUCAACCUGGGACCUGCAUUUGUGACUGUAUAGCUAGAGUACGGUAGAGGGGGAUGGAAUUCCGCGUGUAGCAGUGAAAUGCGUAGAUAUGUGGAGGAACACCGAUGGCGAAGGCAAUCCCCUGGACCUGUACUGACGCUCAUGCACGAAAGCGUGGGGAGCAAACAGGAUUAGAUACCCCUGUAGUCCCUGUCUCUUAUAC
This 301-nucleotide ribosomal RNA is filed under the name uncultured bacterium. RNAcentral's name for it is "partial 16S ribosomal RNA". It matches the Rfam family "Bacterial small subunit ribosomal RNA", at positions 509 to 807 of the family's 1533-position model. The record is from RNAcentral.